This 489-nucleotide ribosomal RNA is filed under the name Pseudomonas sp. Its description in RNAcentral is "partial 16S ribosomal RNA". It matches the Rfam family "Bacterial small subunit ribosomal RNA", at positions 23 to 507 of the family's 1533-position model. The record is from RNAcentral. Lineage: Bacteria; Pseudomonadati; Pseudomonadota; Gammaproteobacteria; Pseudomonadales; Pseudomonadaceae.
CUCAGAUUGAACGCUGGCGGCAGGCCUAACACAUGCAAGUCGAGCGGAUGAAGGGAGCUUGCUCCUNNNUUCAGCGGCGGACGGGUGAGUAAUGCCUAGGAAUCUGCCUGGUAGUGGGGGACAACGUUUCGAAAGGAACGCUAAUACCGCAUACGUCCUACGGGAGAAAGCAGGGGACCUUCGGGCCUUGCGCUAUCAGAUGAGCCUAGGUCGGAUUAGCUAGUUGGUGAGGUAAUGGCUCACCAAGGCGACGAUCCGUAACUGGNCUGAGAGGAUGAUCAGUCACACUGGANNNGAGACACGGUCCAGACUNCUACGGGAGGCAGCAGUGGGGAAUAUUGGACAAUGGGCGAANGNCUGAUCCAGCCAUGCCGCGUGUGUGAAGAAGGUCUUCGGAUUGUAAAGCACUUUAAGUUGGGAGGAAGGGUUGUAGAUUAAUACUCUGCAAUUUUGACGUUACCGACAGAAUAAGCACCGGCUAACUCUGUG